RNAcentral lists this ribosomal RNA (444 nucleotides) under uncultured archaeon. Its description in RNAcentral is "bacterial SSU rRNA". It matches the Rfam family "Archaeal small subunit ribosomal RNA", at positions 28 to 472 of the family's 1478-position model. The record is from RNAcentral.
GAAGUAUGCUAUCGAGAUUCGACUAAGCCAUGCGAGUUGAAUGUUCUUCGUGAACAUGGCGGACUGCUCAGUAACACGUGGAUAAUCUACCCUGGGGAGGAGGAUACUCCCGGGAAACUGGGGUUAAUACUCCAUAGCAAUGAUGCACUGGAAUGUCAUCGUUGCGAAAGAUCCGUCGCCCCAGGAUGAGUCUGCGUCCGAUUAGGUAGUUGUUGGGGUUACUGCCCAACAAGCCGAUAAUCGGUACGGGUUGUGGGAGCAAGAGCCCGGAGAUGGAUUCUGAGACACGAAUCCAGGCCCUACGGGGCGCAGCAGGCGCGAAACCWUUACWAUGCGGGCAACCGUGAUAAGGAAACCCCGAGUGCCCGUAAGAGCGGGCUGUCCAUCUGUUUAACCGCCAAGUGAACAACUGGUCGGGCAGGACCGGUGCCACCCGCGCCGGUC